This 17617-nucleotide long non-coding RNA is filed under the name Nicotiana tabacum (common tobacco). Its description in RNAcentral is "long non-coding RNA (NTAB_LNC004781)". Lineage: Eukaryota; Viridiplantae; Streptophyta; Magnoliopsida; Solanales; Solanaceae. The record is from RNAcentral.
ACAUCUGGGAGGAUUUUCCUCUCCAUUCUUCACUGACAAGACCAAAAACACAAGAAAUUAGAAAUCCCAUCCCCAUGGCUGAACCCUAGGACGCCAUUUCUGAACCUUCUUCCUCAUCUUCAUUCCCUCAACAUACACAGACUUCACACACUCACUACCCAUUUAGAGAUUUGGCCCUCAUUGAUUCACCCAUUCACUCACCCUGUCUCUCAUGUUUAGAAGUAGUCUGAGGUUACAAAAAUCCUUCAAAAUCAAUAGAGAGCAGAAGUCUGAAAAAUCAAAAAACAAAGGGACUAGGAGGCAAGAGAAAACUAAAAAAAAGUUUCCUGCAUUCAUCUGAUUUUCUAGUGCUUGGCUUCGUAUUUUGUUUUUGGAUUUUUUAAGUUCGUGGUGAGCUUGGAGUGCUGCUGGUUCUGCUGCUAAUUCCGCUUCAAUGAUCGAUUUCUAGUUCGUGAUUAUUUUCGGCCUUUAUUUGGCUUGUUGCAACCCUAUUUCACCUUUGCAGAAUUAGGUACUGACGUCAAUUUAUAUACUCAAAUUUGUUUAAUUUGGAUCCUGAAUAUGUGAUUUGGUUUAUUGAUCUCUGAAGUUAGUUGAUUUUCUUGCCGGUAUCACAUGAAUUUCCAUUAAUUCAGCCUACACCGCAGUCAUCUUUCAUUGUACAUGCUGUUAAUUUGAAAUCUGUGUGAAAUAUGAGAAAAAGUGGUUCCAGGUAGUGAGGAAAUUGUGAUUCUAACACCUUGGGAUUUGAACUGUUUUGGCAAGCAUAUGUGAUAUUCUCAUAGUUUGUUUUAUACGAGUUUUGAAAAUUUUGAAAGUUAAUGUCGCAGUAAAAGCUUUUUCAAUGUAGUAAAUAGGAAGGAUCAGUUUUUUCUUUCAUCAUGUUACUUUUAUUUUCUUUGCUGAUCAUAUUCUGAAAUUAUGCUUCUUUAAUUUGAUUUGAUUUGGACACUACAUAAGCUAAAAGAGUUGACGACAAAGUAUUUUUUUAGUUGAUUUGUUCGACCUUACAACAAUCCUAAACUUAGGAAAUAAUUAAUUCAUAAACACCGUAGCUCGCUUUAGGCGCACAAUUAAAUUAUUACAACUACGGGUACGGUUCCUGUAACGUGGUUGUGAUAACUAGUUUUUAAACUAUAUUAAAAAUAGGAGCACCUAUAGUUUGCCUUUAAAAUAUAUAAUAACCCUUUAAGAAUAAUUUGCGGUGUGCCAUUUUCAUUAAAUAACCCAUGGCCCUUUCUUAAUUAAUUUAAAUCUUUUAGAAAUUGAGGUGCGCCAUUUAGUUGAAAUUUCCAUGGCCCUCGUAAAAGGCGUAGUUGCUUUAGGCGCGUAAUUUAAAUUACUUUCCUAAACUCGGGUGUGCAUUUAUGUGACCCAAAUCCAAAUCUCAAAAACGUUAGAUAAAAUAUGUCAUGGGCCGCAGGUGCAUUUAUGUGACGUGGUUCAAGACGCGUUUUAGAUGACGUUGAAUUUUUCCUAAAAAAAUAAUUAAAUAAAAGCAGUUAAUAAUUUAAAAUUGUACCAUAGGCUAAAACAUGUAUUAAAAUCAGAUAAUAGACCAAUUAUAAUAGUUGAGCGACCGUGCUAGAACCACAAAACUCGGGAAUGCCUAACACCUUCUCCCGGGUUAACAGAAUUCCUUACCCGGAUUUUUGUGUUCGCGGACUGCAAAACAGAGUCAAUCUUUCCUCGACUCGGGAUUUGAACCGGUGACUUGGGACACCAUAAAUCAUCCCAAGUGACGACUCUGAAUUUAAUAAAUCAAUAAUCCCGUUUCGAUUGUCACUUUUAGUUGGAAAAAACUCCUUUAUACUCCCUUCCGGGGGGUGUAGUGAAAAAGGAGGUGUAACAAUCAGAAUACAAUAGAUGUGAUUAACUAGGGGUAUCAAUGGUUCGAUUCGGCCAGUUAUUUUAUAAAAUUUAUACUAUACCAAUUAUUCAGUUAUUCUAUUAUGUAUAACCAAAAUUACAAUUUUCAAAACCAUCUCAAUCAUGUCGGUUUCUCUUCGGUAUCAGUACGGUUCGGUUAGUUUUCGGUAAUUAUUUUAAAUAUCAUGUAAAAGUCACUAGUAUAAGUACAAUGAAAUAACAUAUGUACUUUUAUAGGACUUACUAAAACUCUCUAGACAUUUUUACCGUUUAAAAGGUGAUGAAUUAACAAAAUAUGAAAGAUGGAUAGAGUAUAAAUCCAUCAACUAUUCUACAAACAAAAAAAAUAUUAAUCACACAAGUGGAAAGAUAUUAACCAAGUUGGGUUUCAAGAAUAAAGUCUUUAAAAGAUUAAACAUUCAAUAAGAUAAAUCUAAAUCAUACGAAAGGAAACAUAUUCAAUACAUUAUAGUUUUCUAUACAUAAUCACUACAGUACCUUAUUUCUGGCUAGUGAAUAUGCUGGAAAUAAUCUAGUUUCAAUAAAAGUAGCAUAAUAGAUUUGGAAAUUAGGAUUUUGAGUUUAAUUACUUGUUGGCUUAAUUGUUUCAUAAUUCCAAGGCACAAGAAAAAAUUUAAUGCUUAAACUUAAUAUAUAAAUAUAUUUUUCACAUUGUAAAUUUAUUCGGUACGGUUCGGUAUUUCUUGGUUUAUUUUCAUAAAAUAAAAAACCUACCCUAAUUAUCGGUACGAUUAUAGAUUUAUAUAAAAACCUACGGUUUUGUUAAAAGAAACCUAAAAAUAGGUUCGGUACGGUACGAUUUGGUCAGUUUAGUCGGUUUUUAAAUAUCCAUUGACACCCCUUUGAUUAACGAGUAACUCGAGAGAAAACUCAAUGAGCUACAACUAUAAGAGAUUGAGGGUAUUUAUAGUCUAAGUCCAACAUUCACAUGAUCAUCCCACUUUUGCAUGUUGCUAUCAAUAGUUAACAAUACCGAGAUACUUGCCGUUUGUGAGCGAAAUUUCUAGCAUAGUGGAUACGAGUGGAUCCCUAAUAUUUUGAGGAUAGUUGAGGACCAAGUCAAAUCCUAGUCCAUGACUUUAUUGAUAGAUCCCCGGAACUAUCUUUCGGGCGCUUCACCAAGACACGACCCUUGUUCCAAGGAAGGAGUUACCGAAUCAUAUGUAAUUCAUGUGAGGAAAAACUUCCGCUAUCAUCUUGCCCUCGCGGUAAUACUUAUUCCAAGUGAUAUCGUAUCAUUAUACGAUCUAUCCAUGUGUCAGAGUCAAAUUUUACCAAUAUAGAUAGUACCCCACUUUCCGAGUAAGUCUCCAAAAGUAUCUGAGAAGUGGCAUGAUCUUUGGAAUAUAUAUAGCAGAAAGAGUUUUGGUAGGAUUUACCAUGCAACCGUCAUUACUUUCCAUCUAAAGUUCUAUAAAUGUGGUGAGCAUCAAAGUUCUCAAUAAUGUAUAUCACAACUAACACCAACACCCGUCUAACACCUCAUAAAACCGGAGUCACUAAGUAUAUGAGCAUCUAUAGAAUUACUAAAUGCAAUAUCUGAAAUAAUAAAUACACUAUUUAAUAUGAAUAAACAAUAGAAGAUCUAAAAGAUGGGUGACAUCAAGGUCCGCGGACGAGAGUGCAACACUACCUCGAGUCUCCAUAACCAAGCAAGCUAGUUCGUCCUCUAUGUACCGCUAGGUUCAAUGCCAAAAUCAGUACAAGAAGUGUAGAAGUGCAAUAUGAGUACAACCGAUCCAAUAUACUCCGUAAGUGUCGAGCCUAACCCCAACAAGAUAGUGUCGAGGUUAAGACAAUGCACCUAUAUAUAAACCUUUGCAGUUAAGUAACGAGAAAAUAAAGAGAGAUAUAACAAUUAAGAGAAAAAGAAUAGUAGCAACUAAGAUAGCAAAAUAGGUAACAAUUGAGAUAACAAGUGUAGUAGCAAGAAAAUAUAAUACGAGGAAUAAUGAAAGGAGUAACUAAGGAGUAUAAUGACUAUAACCUCAAAUAACACCAAAUAUGCCUUUCCUAACAAUUCAAGUCCAAGUAAUUUGACAACCCAACCAUGAAACAACAUUGUCAAACUCGCAAUUUGUAUAGUAAAAAGAAGUAAUAAGAGAUAUCAAUCAAAUAGUACGACAUUACCCUUUGUACUUUUACUCUCAUCCUUACAAAUACGAAAAUACCCUUCGUGCAAUACACUCAUCCUCACGAAGUAUAAACAUAACAACAAGCACGGAAACACCCCUUCAUGCAUAUCCACUUUUCCUCACAAGCACGGAUAACACCCUUCGUGCAAUAGUAAUAAUAUAAAAAAGCACGGAAGAAACCUUUGUGCAUAAUUAUUAUUUCUCACAAGUAUGGAAAAACCUUUCGUGCAACUCAAUCUUUCUCACCAAGCAAAAACGUGGAAGUACCCUUCGUGCAUAAUCAUUCUUCCUUACAAGUAUGAAAAUACCCUUCCUGCAAUUCACUCGUUCUCACCAAGCAUAAACAUGUAAAGCAGUACCAAGCAAGCUGGGAAGCACAAACAAUAUCAAGAAGAGUGAUUGAACAUAUCUCACCAAAUGGAAAAUAGUCAUCACUUUGUGCCAAUAGCCAAAUCAACAUUUCAAUAGUCUUACUACCCAAUAUCACAAAAAGCUCAACAUGACGAUUAACAUGAAUAUGAAUCGUCAAAGAAUACACAAUCUAAUUAAAGAAUAAAAGGCAUAAUACAUAAAGCAACAAAAUGUAUAUAAGCUAGUUCUCGUCACAUGUUUAACUCAUAGCAAACAAAUAUACAUUCGUCCCCUUGCAUAUGCGCCGCUCCUAACACAUAUGACACAUAACAAUUAGACACAGUUACAUACUAAUUCCCUCAAAUCAAGGUUAACCAAAUCACUUACCUCUUUCUGGAAUAUUUCAACCUUCCAAAAUUACCUUUCCUUUAGCACACGCCUCCAAACUACUCAAAUCUAGCCAAUUAACACUCAAACUAGUCAAAACAAGCUUUAGAAACUACCCUAGUAUCAAAAAGGUUUGACCUUUGACAUAUUUGGAAAAUUUAAUAAGAAGUCAACCCGGAAUCCAAAUAUGUGAUUUGUUUCGAGAUCCGACCUCAACAAGGUAUAAAUCUCAAAAAGUACAAAGUCAUAAAUUUCUAGCCAAAAACCUGUGAUGGCGCCUAACAUUUCACUUGCUAUGCAAGCUAAUAUUAGCUGGAUUAUUUAACCAAUUUUUAACUAUUCCAAUAGAACAUUAAUUAAAACAAGCCGAAAUAGUUUGAAAUGUUAUAAUAAUAAACACAUGACAAUAUCUAAACAUCUCCCAGAAUCCAGAGUCACGAAGACAUGACCAACUAGAGUACUACGUAUAUAGUCUGUAACAAAGUACAACUGUCUAAGACUAGGUAAGCAGUAAACUGGAGAAGGAAGAGGACUUUAGGGCUGCAGAUGCCAUGCAACUAUACCUCAAGUCUCCAAAUGUGGCUAAAUCCGACCAGAACACCGUUAGACGCUGCUGGGGCCAACACUAGUAUCUACACAAGAAGUGUAAAAGUUUAGCAUGAGUACGAACAACUACAACAACAACAAAUCCACUAUAUUCCAAAAAGCGGGUCUGAGAGGGUAGUAUGUACGCAGACCAUACACCUACAUUUAAAAAGGAGUAGUAUGAGUACAACUGAUCCGAUGUACUCCGUAAAUGUCGAGCCUGACCUCGACGAGGUAGUGACGAGGCUAUGACAGGAAACCUACAAAAAUUCUCUAUAUAUAUAUAUAUAAGAAUGGAAAGUAGGAAAUCACCAAAUAACAUCUUCCGAAAUAAGACAAUGUAACCAAAUAAUCACCAAUCCGGGAAUCAAAUAAGGCAAGGAAUUAAAGAUGACACGACAUCAUUCUACGUGAUUUAACUCUCGUCCUUACCAUGUAAUAUCAUAAAUAAAAUGGCACGACAUUACCCUUCGUGCUUUUACUCUCUGGCACGACAUUACCCUUCGUGCUUUAAUCCUCACAACCUCUCAAUAUAUGAUAAUUCAUGAAAACAAGGCAUGACAACACCCUUCGUGCUUUUCACUCUUCCUCACCAAGCAACAAUACAAAAUUCGAACAACAAAUGCAUGGGGGAAAAAUUUUCACUUCAAUUAUAGUGCUAAGAUAACAAACUCAACUUUCAAAAUUUCCAACAUAUUCAAACCUAAGCAUGAAAAAUGUAGUUAAUGAAAUAAUAUAAUUCAAAGAAACAAUUUUCACCUGCAUGCUUUAACCCAAUGAUAAUUCAUAUAUACUCGUCACCUCAUAUAUACAUCAUCCCCACAUAUAAUACAAGUAGAAAAUAGACCAACAAGUCCUAAUCCCUCAAGUCAAGGUUAACCACGACACUUACUCUGCAACCAAAUCAAUACUCAACCUUGACUUUCCCUCUAGAAGUAGCCUUCAAACCAAUCAGAUCUAGCCAAAUAUAGUUCAAAUAACUCAACUAGGCUCUAGAAACUACCCACGAGUGAAAAAGAUUCAAUCUUAAAUUAUUUUGGAAAAAAUCAACAAAAGUCAACCCCAAGCUCGCUUGUCAAAAUCCGAGAUUCGGACCAAAAUCCAAUUACCCAUUCACCCCUAAGCCCGGUUAUGUAAUUAGUUUCGAAAUCCGAUCUCAAUUUGAGGGUUAAAUCUUAAUUUCUCAAAAUUUCCAAUUUCUACCAUGAAAAAGCAUAGUUAAAAUCAAUGGGUGUUUAUGAAAAUGUAAUGAAACAAGUUAAAAUCUAUUAACUAAUGAAAUAGGGAUGAAAAACCUCUUCAAAAUCGCCUCUAAGAUGAGCUCAAACUUGAAAAUGGUGAAAAGUGAAGAAAAACGCGACUUUGAAAUGUUUAAAUCACUGGGCGUCAGGUGUUCUUCGCAUUCGCAAAGCACAACGACCAAAAGGCCUUCACAUUCGCGAGCUACCCUUCACGUUCAUGUAGGCUUGCUCCCCCUACCUUCACGUUCACGAGACAAUGCCCGUGUUUGCAUAGAGUAACUAGUUGCCUCCCCCUCAAGAAUCAUAGAACUCUUUGCGUUCAUGUGAGGAAAGUCGUGUUCGCGAAGGGUAAGCCCUCCGCUGCAUCACGUUCGCAAACAAUUCCCCGUGUUUGCAAAGAAGAAAUCCUUUCUAGUCCCAAGUUCUCCUUCGCAGUCGCGAGAGUAGCUUUGCGAUUGCGAAGAACAUCACACCAGACACUAGAAAACAGCUGAAACCAACAUUUUCUUAAGUCCGAAAUGGUCCGUAGCCUAUCCGAAACUCAUCCGAGCCCCUUGAGCUCCAAAUAAAAUGUGCACACAAGUGUAAUAACAUCAUACAAACUCGCUCAAGUGAUCAAAACACAAAAAUAACACCUAGAACUAUGAAUUGGACAUCAAAAUGCAUGAAAUUUCAAAGAAAACUCAAAAACUUCUAAAAUCCCAACCGAGCGUCUGAAUCCUAUUAAACAAACUCUGAUUUGCACCAAAUUUUGCAAACAAGUUUCAAAUAAAAAAAUAAACCUAUAUCGAGUACCAGAAGAAAAAUUCGAACUCGGUAACCAUAAAGUCAAUCAACGGUCAAACCUAGGCAAUUUCCAAACCUUCAAAUUACUAGCUUUCGACAAAACAAGUCAAAUCAAGUUGGGGACUUCCGAAUUCAAUUUGGGGCAUACGCCCAAGUCCAAAAUCACGAUAUGAACCCACCGGAUCAUCAAAAUACUGAUCCGGGGUCAUUUAUACAAAAUGUUGACCGUAGUGAACUCAAGUUAUUUUUAAAGCCAAAAUUCUUAUUUUAUUCAAUUUUUCACAUAAAAUCUUCGUGGAAAAAGAUAUAGAAUGCGCAUGCAAAUCGAGAAACAUUAAAUGGAACUAAUAGAAGUCUUGUAACAUAGAAAUAAGGUCUAGUACUCAAAACAACCUAUCGGGUCGUCACACUCUCCACCUCUAAAGAAAACGUUCGUCCUCGAACGAAAAUAGAAAAAUACCUAGACUGGUGAAAAGGUGUGGGUAUCUAUUCCGCAUAUCAGACUCGGACUCCCACGUAGCUGCCUCGAUCGGCUGACCUCUCCACUACACUCUAACAGAAGGAUAACUCUUAGACCUCAACUUCUAAACCUGUCGUGCUAGAAUAGCCACCAACUCUUCCUCAUAAGUCAAAUCCUCUACCAAUUGGACUGAGAUGAAAUCUAAUACAUGGGACGGAUCGUUGUGACACUUUUGGAGCAUGGAAACAUGGAACACAGAGUGGAAUACCGAUAAUCUAGGUGGUAAUGCAAGUCUGUAAGCCACCUCACCAACUCUCUCAAGGAUCUCAAAGGGACGGAUAUACCUAGGGCUCAACUUGCCCUUCUUCCUGAACCUCAUCACACCAUUCAUAGGUGAAACCCACAGCAAAACCCUCUCUCCCAGCAUGAAUGCUACACCACAAACCCUCUGAUUAGCAUAACUCUUCAGCCUAGACUGGAGUACGAAGCCGAUCCUGAAUUAACUUGACUUUCUCCAAGGCAUCCCGAACCAAAUCAGUGCCCAACAACCCAACCUCUACCAGUUCAAACCAACCAACUGGAGAACAACAUUGCCUCCCAUAUAAGGCCUCAUGAGGAACCAUUUGAAUGCUCGAUUGGUAGAUGUUGUUGUAGGCAAACUCCACAAGCGGUAAGAACUGAUCCCGAUAACCCUCAAAGUUCAUAACAUAGGCAUGUAGCAUGUCCUCCAAGAUAUGAAUGUUGAGCUCGGACUGCCCAUCCGUCUGGGGUGAAAUAUUAUACUUAACUCAAUCCACGUACCUAAUUCACGCUGCACAACUCUCUAAAAUGGUGAUGUGAACUAUGUGCCUCGAUCGGAUAUAAUAAACACCGGCACGCCAUGAAGAUGCACAGUCUCCCAAAUAUAGAUUUGAGCCAGCUGCUCUGAAGAAUAGGUAGCCUCCACCAGAAUGAAAUGCAUCGACUUGGUCAAACAUCCAUAAUGACACACACUGCGUCAAAUUUCUUCAAUGUAUGUGGGAGCCCAACAAUGAUAUACAUGGUAAUAUGCUCCCAUUUCCACUCGGGAAUCUCAAGUCUCUAAAGCAAACCGCCAGGCUUCUAAUGCUCGUACUUUACCUGAUGGCAGUUCAAACACCAAGCCACACACUCUACUAUAUCUUUUGUUCAUUCUUCUAUACCAAUAAUGCUUCCUCAAAUCGUGAUACAUCUUGGCAACACUUAGAUGAAUGGAAUACAGCAAACUAUGGGCCUCCUCAAGAAUCAACUUACACAAUCCAUCCACACUGGGCACAUAUAUCCGAUCCUGUAUCCGCAACAUCCCAUCAUCUCCACUAGAAACAUCCUCGCCAUCACCGUACUGCACCAUAUCCUUAAGGACAAGCAAAUAAGGUCAUUAUACUGACACUUUCUGAUGUGCUCAUACAAAGAAGAAUGAGAAACCAUGCAAGCAAGAACCCAACUAGGCUCCAAAACAUCUACCUCACGAACUGAUUGGCCAAAGCCUGGACAUCUGAUGCUAGCGGUCUCUCACCAAUAGGAAUAUAUGCAAAGCUACCCAUACUCAUAGCCUUUCUACUCAAGGCAUCUGUCACCAUAUUGGCCUUCAUGCUAUAAUACAAAAUGGUGAUAUCAUAGUCUUUUAAAUGUUCUAACCACCUCCGCUACCUCAAAUUUAGAUCUUUUUGCUUAAACAAGUGUUGUAGACUCCGAUGAUCUGUGAAUACCUCACACGACAUGCCAUAGAGGUAAUGCCUCCAAGUCUUCAAUGCAUGAACAAUAGCUGCCAACUCUAAGUCAUGAACAUGUUAGUUCUUUUCAUGAGCCUUCAGCUGCCGAGACUCGUAGGCAAUCACCCUACCGUUUUGCAUCAAUACCGCGCCAAGUCCAAUAUGUGACGUAUCACAAUACACAGUGUAAGAUCCCAUACCCGUAGGCAACACUAAUACUGGAGAUGUCGUCAAAGUAGUCUUGAGCUUCUUAAAGCUCAACUCACACUCGUCAGGCCACCUGAAUAGGGUACCCUUUUGGGUCAAUCUAGUCAAUAGUGUUGCAAUAUAAGAGAACCCCUUCACAAAUUAGCGAUAAUAACCCGCCAAACCCAGGAAACUCCAAAUCUCUACAGCUGAAGUAGGUCUAGGCCAAUUUUGAACUACCUCAAUCUUCUUAGAAUCCACUUUAAUGCACUUGGAAGAUAUAAAAUGCCCCAAAAAGGCAACCGAAUCCAACAAAAACUCACACUUUGAAAACUUUGCAUAUAACUGACUAUCUCUCAAGUUCUGUAGUACAAUCUGCAGAUGCUGCUCAUGCUUCUCUAUACUAUGUGAGUAAACCAAAAUAUCUUCAAUGAAGACGAUCACAAAAGAAUCCAAAUAGGGCUUGAAUACUCGGUUCAUCAAAUUCAUAAAUGUUGUUGGGGCAUUUGUCAUGCCUCAUGACAUCACUAGGAACUCAUAAUGCACAUACUGAUUCUGAAAAGCUAUCUUAGGGACAUCUAAUGCCCUAAUCUUCAAUUGAUGGUAACUAGAUCUCAAAUAAAUCUUCAAAAAUAGAUUGGCACCCUAAAGUUGAUCAAAUAAACCAUCAAUAUUCAGCAAAGGAUACUUGUUCUUGAUAGUGACUUAGUUCAACUAAUGAUAAUCUAUACACAUCCUCAUCGAACCAUCUUUCUUCUUCAAAAACAACACUGGUGCACCCUAGGGCGACACACUAGGUUUGAUGAAUCCCUUAUCAAGCAAAUUCUGCAACUGCUCCUUCAGUUCCUUCAACUCAGCUGGAGCCAUACGGUAUGGUGGAAUAGAAAUGGGCUUAGUAGCCAGAGCCAAGUCAAUACAGAAGUCAUUACCUCUAGAAACCCAUGCAUAACUGGUACUGAAUCCAUGAAAGGAACCUCCGUACUGGAUGAGGGAUUUAGGCCAAAUAUGCUAGACAUCCCUUCUCGACCAUAUGUCAAGCCUUCACAUAAUAAAUAACCCUGCUAGUAGAAUGGCCAGGAGUCCCUCUUCACCAUAAUAGAGGCAACCCUGACAUGGAUAAGGUGACCCUAUUGGCGUGACAAUCUAAAAUAGCGUGAUAAGAUGAUAGCCAAUCCAUGCCCAAAAUAACAUCAAAGUCCACCAUAUCAAGAAGUAGGAGAUCUAUACUAGUCUCAAGGCCUCGGAUAGAAACCAUACACGAGCGAUAAACAAGAUCUACAAUAAUAGAAUCUCCCACAGACAUGGACACAUAUACAUGAGCACUCAAAGAAUCAUGAGGAAAAAUUAGAUAUGAAGAAAAAUAGGUUGACACAUAGCAAUAAGUAGAGCCUAUAUCAAAGAGAAUUGAGUCAUCUCUAUGGCAAACUAGAACAACAACUAUGAUGAUGACGUCAAAUGACUCUACCUGAAGUCUAGCUGGAAAUGCAUAAAAAUGUGUGGGCCCUACCACUCUAACCUCCGCCUCUCGGACGACCUCUAGAUGGCUGACCUCCACCUUUAAUGUCCUGAUCUCCACCUCUAGCAGAUUGACCCUUGCCUCUAGCUAGCUGAGCGGGUGAUGGAGCAACUAGUGCCAAAACCAUGGCACGAGAAUCUUGCUGUGGUGUAACGACCCGACCAGUCGUUUCAUGAGUUACCAUUCCGUUUCCCCCAUUUCUAAUUAUUUAUGUCUUGUUCAACUAUAUUAUGUUGCAUCGUGUUGGUUAGUUUGGAUUCAGAAAGGUUUUGUAGAGAAAUGAGACACUUAGUCUCUUAAGUUAGCCUUUUAGUUAAAAACAUCAAUCGGAAGUUGACUUGUGGGUAAACAACCUCAAAAUUUGAUUUAUUUAUUAUUUUUAUAGCUUUGGGAGGUGAUUUGGGACUUAAUAGUGUGAUCGGAAUGUGUUUUGGAGGUCCGGAGUAGAUUUAGGCUUGAAUUGACGAAAUUGGAAUUUUGGCGUUUUCCGGUUGAUAGGGGAGAUUUUGAAAUAGGGGUCAGAAUGGAAUUCCGGAAGUUGGAUUAGGUCCGUUGUGUCAUUUUUGUCGUGUGUGCAAAACUUUAGGUCAUUCGGACGAGGUUUGAUAGACUUUUUGAUCGAAAGUAAAAUUUGGAAGUUUUUGGAAUUCCUAGGCUUGAAUCCAAUGGUGAUUUGAUGUUUUGAUAUUGUUUUGAGUGUUCUGAAGGUUGGAACAAGUUCUAAUGAUGUUAUGGGAUAUGUUUGCAUGUUUGGUUGAGGUCCCGAGGGCCUUGGGUGAGUUUUGGGUGGUUAAACGAAUCAAAUUUUGUUGUAGGGAGUUGCAGAUUCUGCUGUUGGUGUUGUAGAGUUUUUGCCUUCACGUUCGUGAGAGGGCUCUCGUGUUCGCGAAGGGAUGAGAAGUGAGGUAGUCAAUUUAACCUUCAUGUUGGCGAUGUUGGUCCCAUGUUCGCGAAGGGUGAGGUUUAGUAUGCUACUCGAACGCGAUGAGGUUCCCUUGUUCAUGUAGAGUAAAUAGGAGUAGCUGGGGUCCUGAUCAUUUGUGCUUUGCGUUUGCAUUAAGGAGGUCACGUUCGCGAUGGUCUGGAAAGCAGAAGCUUCGCGUUCGCGAGCUGGAGGUUGCAUUCGUGAGCUGGAUGUCGCCUUCGCGUAAGAGGGAUUUAUGGUCAACGAGUUUUUGUGCUUCGCGAAUGCGAGGCAUUGACCGCGUUCGCGAAGAAGGAAAGGGUCACCUGGGAAGAAUGUUUAAAUAGCCAGUGUUCGCGAUUUUGGGUCUAACUUCCAACAUUUUUGAGCGAUUUUUGAGCUUUUUGAGAAGGAUUGAAGAGGGAAACACUUGGAGGUAAGACUUUUGGACUCAAUACUCGUUCCUAUUGUGAUUUCUACCUACUUAAACAUGAAAUUUGUGGAAUCUAAAGUCUAAGAUUGGGGAGUUAGAGCUUGAAAUUGGAGACUUUGAUUUGAGGAUUUGAGGGGUCGUUUGUGGUCGGAUUUUGAUGUAUUUGAUGUCGCGCCCCCUUUUUGCUCCUUUUUUUUAUAGGGAGAAGUCCGGGUUUUGACAUUCAUGGGGUGUAAUGACUCAUUUCCUUUUGGGGAUUGGGUAUUUGAAGAGUCGCCACCUAACGGAUUAUGGUGUGUUAGGGCACCUAGAGCAAUCAACUCUUGGGUUGGUUUGCAUUACCAGAUAUUAGGAUAAAGACUCGAAUUAACCUCAAGGGGAAGGUGUUAGGCAUCCCUCUUGGUCCAAAAUUAUAGGUCCCGGCUGAACUUAUAUUCACAAAUUAGUCCAUUACAAGUAAACAAUUGAAUCAAAUAGGUUGCAAGUAAAGCACAUUAGAACAACUCAAGUAGUAAGAUAAAUGUUUGGACAAGUUGUAAAAUAAAGGAUUGAAUAAAGAAAGAAUUUGGUAAAGAGGGGUCCUAGGUUGGUUAUCCUAUCGGAUCACCCCCACACAAUGUCCGGUAAACACUCCUCAAUGAGGGGCUACACGUGACAUUAGCACGUAGUCAUCAUAUCCCAUAUCUACCCUUGCCCAUCCCCUUAUUGGUCAUGGUAAGCGAGUGUUUGGUCAACGCUUUCUAUUGCGUGCUGCUACCUAUCCUUAUUAAUGGUCAUGGAGGGAGUUAGGACCUCUACAUAUAGGUAGUUCUAGACGUACCCCUAAGGUUUUAAAAUGCAAAAAUUCUAAGGCGACAAUCAAAAACACUUAGGACUUUCAACACAAAGAAGGAGCAAUUAGAGGCUCAGAAAUUCCUCCUCAAACGAACACAUAAGUAGCACAACUCAAGCACAGUUAAGGUCUUUUAUUAGACAAUGUCCUAAAACAGGAUAUCUAAGUGAAUAUGCAGAAGACAAACAACCUCGUUUAGACUUAGAAGUUAUAACCUAGCAGUUGCCUAUGGACUCUUUUUAAAGCCUGUUAGGAUCAGAAAACAUUGAGCAAUAGAAACAGUUUUAGAAAUGCAAUUUUAAAAACGCCCUAAAGGCUUGCCUAUACGUAGAAUACUUAUGUCUAUAUCAAUGCAGAAACAAAGUAGGUUUUGGAAAUGGACUCCUUUAAUACCUAUAAGCAUGAUAUCUAAUGAGAUUGAGGCAGUUUGAAAGAACUUGUUUCAGGAAAUAUUUAAUACUUAAUAAAACCAAUUUAGAAAUGAACUAGGCAUGAUCAAGUUGAUUAUUAGACUAAAUUAGAUUAACAGACAUAAUUGCGAGUAAGGCUCCCUGUAGACAUGAUAUCUAGGCGUAAUACUGGUUUUAACGGUUUGCAGGCAUGGAAACAUACAUAAAUACUCGUUGUAACAAAAUCUAGAUUAGGUCCUAUAGGCAUGGCAUCUAUUAUUAAUCUGAUUUUAAGACAUGAUCGUUUGGAACCUAUAAGCAUGGUUUCUAAACAUGGAAAAAUGUAAAACCUUAUAGACAUGGUUUCUACUUGAUGAGGCACUCAAAUUUAAGCAAGAAGUCCUAAGAGCAUGAUUUCUAUUGGAAAACAAUCAGAUUUAAAUAUGAAGCCCUAGGAGCAUGAUUUCUACUUAGUAGAGCAAAUAGAUUUAAAAGCAAAGUCCUAUGAGCAUGAUUUCUACCCGAAUUACCCCAUAAAACAUGUAUCUACCCACCCGUUUCACUAAAUACCCCAAUAUCUAUUUACAAAUUAUUACAGGACAAUGAAUGAAUAAGUAAAAAAUAGAAAAUCAAGAAGCUAUUCUAUAGGGAGCCUUCAAUAAAGGCCCAGAUUUCCCAAAGCCUCCAAUGGUCUCAUAUGCCUCAAUUCCAUAGAUAAAUCAAAGUCUAGGUGCAUCAAAGUUCCCUAAAGAUCUCAAGGAUCCCGGGCAAUGCUUUCACCUAGAUUUAGUAAUCAAAGAUUGAAUAAGUGCAGUAUGGAAAGGCCAACCUUAGUAUGCCAGAUUUCAGAGGGUUCUCAAAAGGAUCCCAAAGCAGUAUACAUACUAGAGGGAGCAGAACUUAUUGACUAAGAGUAGAGUGAAAAGUGAUGGACACAAGUUGAAAGGUUUUAGUAAGAAACUGUAUUUAACAAAAGAUCUCUUUUGAAAGUAAUUUAUUAAAGCAACAGAGAUUGUUUGAAAAAGAGAUUGGAGUAGUUAACAAAGUCCAAACACCUUAGGAUAGGUUCAUGCACAACCAGGAGUCCAUGCAUCCAUGCAUGUUUGGUAGUCACAAACAGGGGUAAAGGGGGUUUGGGAAUACAUAGGACACACAUAGUUAAGCAAAGACCUAGGAAUUAGUAGUCAUGCCCAGAAGUAGCUAGCUAGACAUAGUUACAGAAUCAGAUAUAAAGAACAGACUCACAUGCAAGGGAAUAGGGAUUUGGGAGAUCCAUGGUGGUAACCAUAUAACAAGUAAGACAUGAUUAGUGUAGACAUGCUCAGAAACAAACAGAAGGGGAAAUAUACUAAUCUCAAGGGGAGGGGAAGACAUGGUAACAUGCUAACAAUGUAACCCUCAACUACAAGUUUCACAACAGAACCACAAAUAGAAGCAAACCAGAAAUAAGAUGAACUAAAACAAUAAUAGAAUCAUAUUGUUGUUGGAGCUUUGAAUUGAAACUAGGACAUACCAGUAAAGAGGAUAGUGAGCAGAAACACAAAUGGUUAGCCUUGGCUUACAACCGGCUAACUUAGAGUAGUAGCAAGUAGCACAAGAGCGAGAGCAGAGCUUUUUUUAAGUAUGAGAGAUAGUUUUGAACCCAAGAGUUCGUGUCCUAUGUGUAUUAAUGAGAGAGACUAUACAUAGUCUGAAACUAGGCAGAAUAAUAAGGUAGGAAUCAAAGUCAAGCAGUAGUUAUGGAACUAGGUAUCAAUUAGUCUAAAAUUAAUAGAAGUACUCCCUUAAUUAAGGGAUUUAACUUCAAAUGGUAAAGAUAGAUAAGGAAAGAGAUUACAUAAGACAUGGAAUAUAACACAUAAGAAAAUAAUUUCAGCAUAGUGCAAAUAUAGAACAUGCAAAUAAGGCUAGGUACAUAAUAUUCCUAUUAAGAAAACAACAUAAGAGUCAGUUGACAGUAUAAUCGACCAUGAAAUAAGGCAAGAAAAAUGACAAGAGAUUAGAAGGAUAUCAAUCAUAGGGAAUCAAGGAUUCCGAUGGACAAUAGCACUGAUUUAGGGGAAAUUACCACAAAUUCCUAUGAACAAACAGAAUAAACACAUAAUAGGCAAGAGGCAAAAUCAGAAACCCUAAUAGCAUAGUAGGGUAAAAAUUACACAAAAUCAGGGAUUUGCAUAGAACAUAGCACUGAUUAGAGGAGUUAACAGAAUAGGCAUAGUAUAGGCGGGAGAAGUAAAAAUUAGAAACCCUAAUGGGUAUAGUAGGGUAAAAAAUCACACAAAACUCAGGGAUUCAUGAGAAACAAGCAAGCAUAUAGAUUAGAUGAACCAAUCGUCAAAUACAGACUCAGAACCCAGGGUUAAGACCAAGAACUGAGGUUUUCAGCAUAGACGAGUUGAAAAAGGAGAAAAACACAGAAUCAGUCGAGAUAUGCAAAGGAAAGAGGUUUAAACAUGAAGAAUCGAUUUAAUAGAGUGUAGAAAAAGUUCUAAAAACCUUAACUUUUAAAACAACUCGCAACCAAUGAUUUUUUGCAAAAGAGAUUUGAGAAUAGUGUAAAACAUAGAAAGAAAUAAACUCGAAUCGUUAAAAAUAGCACAAAUCUAAGCGAUACAAAUGAAAGUUAGGGUUUCACUGGAAACCCAAAUAGAAACGGAAGAACUUGCUAUAAACUUCAAAAAUCGUAACAAAUGUAGCAUGAGUUUGCUCAAAAUCACACCGAAGAAACCAUGAACAGCCAAAGUAGUAACCCUAGAUACAUAUCGGCAUGGCCCAGGGCCCUUGAAGGCCGCAGAGAUGAUGAGCAAGGUGAUGGAGAAACCAUUGGAGGAUUGGGGUUGAAAGGUGGUCACCGGAGAGGACCGGAGAAGGAGGUGGUGGUUGAAGAAGGAUUAGGGUUAGGUUGACGGAAGAGAGGAGACCAGAGGAUUCAAAGGCGACAGGGGUUUGGAAAUGAGGUAGGGUUAGGUGGUCUUUUGAAUUAAAAAAGGAAAGGGGUCGUGUGGACCGUUGAUCUAGGAGAUCAAUGACCAGGAUUUGACCGGGUAGAUGGGUUCCGGGUUUGGGUAGGUGUAUAGAGUUUGGGUCAGGUUAAUUGGGUAUGAAAUUGGGCUGGGGAGUGGGUUCAAUUUGGGAUACAAUUGAAAGCCAAAUUGGGCUAUAAUUUAAAUAGCCAUUGUUUCCUACUUAAUUUAUAAUAAAUAAUAAAUAGUUUUCUCAAAAUAAUUUUUCUAUACCAAGAUGAUUUAAAAUAUGUAAUUACCAUUUUAAAAAUAUUGGGACCAAUUUACACACAUAAAAAAUGUAAUUAUACACUUAAUGGGCUAAUAUUGCAAUUAUAUGCAAUUUAGCUUUUAAAAUACCAAAUGCAAUUAUAAAAUUGCAUAAAAAUUAUAGUGCCCAUAUUUUGGUGUAAGUAUAGAAAUUAAACGAACAAAGCAUCACAACGAUAAUUUGGAAAAUAAUUAUUAGGGAUUUUAUGAGUAAAAGGGAAGAAAAUAAAUCAAUUGAAACCCUUAAAAUUAUGUCAAAAAUUAUAAAAACCUUGUGCAUUCUNNNNNNNNNNNNNNNNNNNNGGAAAAUUUGGUAUCAAUAUUUGAUAUGUAUGAACUUGUGGGAGUGUAAGGAUUCUAGUAUAGGAAUUCGAGACGUGGGCCCAAGGGUCGAGUUUGGCCAAUUUCGGGAUUUUUAUGUAAAUUGGUUAUUUUUGAGUGGGAUUUAUUCCCUUAGCAUAUUUGGAUGGUAUAAAUCUGUUAUGGGUUAGAUUUGGAGCAUCCGGAGGUCGAGUUAAGA